This 246-nucleotide ribosomal RNA is filed under the name uncultured bacterium. RNAcentral's name for it is "partial 16S ribosomal RNA". It matches the Rfam family "Bacterial small subunit ribosomal RNA", at positions 524 to 767 of the family's 1533-position model. The record is from RNAcentral.
UACGAAGGGGGCUAGCGUUGCUCGGAAUGACUGGGCGUUAAAAGGGCGCGUAGGCGGUUCAUACAGUCAGAUGUGAAAUUCCCGGGCUUAACCUGGGGGCUGCAUUUGAUACGUGUGGGCUUGAGUGAGGAAGAGGGUUGUGGAAUUCCCAGUGUAGAGGUGAAAUGCGUAGAUAUCGGGAGGAACACCAGUGGCGAAGGCGGCUAUCUGGGCUGAAACUGACGCUGAGGCGCGAAGGCUAGGGGA